GCUGGCCGUGGUGGCACGCACCUGUAAUCCCAGCUACUCGGGAGGCUGAGGCAAGAGAAUUGCUUGAACCCGGGAGGCACAGGUUGCAGUGAGCCGAGAUAGUGCCACUGCACUCCAGCCUGGCGACAGAGUGAGACUCCGUCUCAAAAAAAAAAAGGAGGAGGAGUCUCCCUCUGUUGCCCAGUCUGGAGUGCAGUGGCACUAUCUCGGCUCAGUGCAACCUCCGCCUCCUGGUUCAAGCAAUUCUUCUGACU
RNAcentral lists this long non-coding RNA (254 nucleotides) under Homo sapiens (human). RNAcentral's name for it is "non-protein coding lnc-MAP7D1-1:1". Lineage: Eukaryota; Metazoa; Chordata; Mammalia; Primates; Hominidae. The record is from RNAcentral.